This 616-nucleotide ribosomal RNA is filed under the name Salmonella enterica subsp. enterica. Its description in RNAcentral is "bacterial LSU rRNA". It matches the Rfam family "Bacterial large subunit ribosomal RNA", at positions 1223 to 1821 of the family's 2925-position model. Lineage: Bacteria; Pseudomonadati; Pseudomonadota; Gammaproteobacteria; Enterobacterales; Enterobacteriaceae. The record is from RNAcentral.
GUUGGGUAGGGGAGCGUUCUGUAAGCCUGUGAAGGUGUGUCGUGAGGCAUGCUGGAGGUAUCAGAAGUGCGAAUGCUGACAUAAGUAACGAUAAAGCGGGUGAAAAGCCCGCUCGCCGGAAGACCAAGGGUUCCUGUCCAACGUUAAUCGGGGCAGGGUGAGUCGACCCCUAAGGCGAGGCCGAAAGGCGUAGUCGAUGGGAAACGGGUUAAUAUUCCCGUACUUGGUGUUACUGCGAAGGGGGGACGGAGAAGGCUAUGUUGGCCGGGCGACGGUUGUCCCGGUUUAAGCGUGUAGGUGUGUGUUCCAGGUAAAUCCGGUUCACUUUAACACUGAGGCGUGACGACGAGGCACUACGGUGCUGAAGCAACAAAUGCCCUGCUUCCAGGAAAAGCCUCUAAGCAUCAGGUAACAUCAAAUCGUACCCCAAACCGACACAGGUGGUCAGGUAGAGAAUACCAAGGCGCUUGAGAGAACUCGGGUGAAGGAACUAGGCAAAAUGGUGCCGUAACUUCGGGAGAAGGCACGCUGACACGUAGGUGAAGUGAUUUACUCAUGGAGCUGAAGUCAGUCGAAGAUACCAGCUGGCUGCAACUGUUUAUUAAAAACACAGCAC